GGCUUUGUAGUCAAUUUAUGAUAUUAGACUGCAAUUCUAAAGUAGAUAAAACUUUAUCUAAAGCUU
This 66-nucleotide transfer RNA is filed under the name Eurydema qinlingensis. Its description in RNAcentral is "tRNA-Cys". The record is from RNAcentral. Lineage: Eukaryota; Metazoa; Arthropoda; Insecta; Hemiptera; Pentatomidae.